AUGAUGGUUGGCCUCCCACGUAAAACAAAGGUACUCUCUUCUUCCUCACAAAACGCAACAGCGGCCGUGAAAUCAUCCUCUCCGGUCAUCUUUCCGACGAUUCUUCCUCAGUGCCACUGUCAUCGGUCCUUCUCCGAUUUGCUUUCGUCAAACUCCGACGUCUCAACCUUCUUCACGAAUCUCCAUCUCAACUCUCGCUUCAAGCCUUUCGCUCAACCUAUUAAAUCCGUUCAAUCCUCAACUGUCCUCAAUCAUCUUAUCUCUUGGCGGAUUCGACUCGUGGAUAGCAAGAAAAAUGGCGCAAGAACACCUUACCUGUCGCAGUGGCUCCGAGGGCGUUUCGAAGGCAGUAGCUAA
Molecule: non-coding RNA, 357 nt
Organism: Vicia faba (fava bean)
Lineage: Eukaryota; Viridiplantae; Streptophyta; Magnoliopsida; Fabales; Fabaceae
Source: the annotation of a GenBank genome assembly